RNAcentral lists this ribosomal RNA (494 nucleotides) under uncultured bacterium. RNAcentral describes it as "bacterial SSU rRNA". It matches the Rfam family "Bacterial small subunit ribosomal RNA", at positions 15 to 507 of the family's 1533-position model. The record is from RNAcentral.
GAUCCUGGCUCAGAUUGAACGCUGGCGGCAUGCCUUACACAUGCAAGUCGAACGGCAGCGGACCUUCGGGUGCCGGCGAGUGGCGAACGGGUGAGUAAUAUAUCGGAACGUACCUUUCAGUGGGGAUAACGUAGCGAAAGUUACGCUAAUACCGCAUAUUCUGUGAGCAGGAAAGCAGGGGACCGCAAGGCCUUGCGCUCUUUGAGCGGCCGAUGUCAGAUUAGCUAGUUGGUGAGGUAAAGGCUUACCAAGGCGACGAUCUGUAGCGGGUCUGAGAGGAUGAUCCGCCACACUGGAACUGAGACACGGUCCAGACUCCUACGGGAGGCAGCAGUGGGGAAUUUUGGACAAUGGGCGCAAGCCUGAUCCAGCCAUGCCGCGUGAGUGAAGAAGGCCUUCGGGUUGUAAAGCUCUUUCGGCCGGGAAGAAAUCGCAUGGGUUAAUACCCUGUGUGGAUGACGGUACCGGAAUAAGAAGCACCGGCUAACUACGUG